GCUUCCAUGGCGUAGUUGGUUAUCGCGUUCGGCUGUUAACCGAAAGGUCGCCGGUUCGAGUCCGGCUGGAAGCG
RNAcentral lists this transfer RNA (74 nucleotides) under Nematocida displodere. It matches the Rfam family "tRNA". Rfam says of the family: Transfer RNA (tRNA) molecules are approximately 80 nucleotides in length. Their secondary structure includes four short double-helical elements and three loops (D, anti-codon, and T loops). Further hydrogen bonds mediate the characteristic L-shaped molecular structure. tRNAs have two regions of fundamental functional importance: the anti-codon, which is responsible for specific mRNA codon recognition, and the 3' end, to which the tRNAs corresponding amino acid is attached (by aminoacyl-tRNA synthetases). tRNAs cope with the degeneracy of the genetic code in two manners: having more than one tRNA (with a specific anti-codon) for a particular amino acid; and 'wobble' base-pairing, i.e. permitting non-standard base-pairing at the 3rd anti-codon position. The record is from Rfam by way of RNAcentral. Lineage: Eukaryota; Fungi; Microsporidia.